GACGAACGCUGGCGGCGUGCUUAACACAUGCAAGUCGAACGGAAAGGCCCUGCUUUUGUGGGGUGCUCGAGUGGCGAACGGGUGAGUAACAUGUGAGUAACCUGCCUUUGACUUUGGGAUAACUUCAGGAAACUGGGGCUAAUACCGGAUAGGAGCUCCUGCUGCAUGGUGGGGGUUGGAAAGUUUCGGCGGUUGGGGAUGGACUCGCGGCUUAUCAGCUUGUUGGUGGGGUAGUGGCUUACCAAGGCUUUGACGGGUAGCCGGCCGGAGAGGGUGACCGGCCACACUGGGACUGAGACACGGCCCAGACUCCUACGGGAGGCAGCAGUGGGGAAUAUUGCACAAUGGGCGGAAGCCUGAUGCAGCAACGCCGCGUGCGGGAUGACGGCCUUCGGGUUGUAAACCGCUUUCGCCUGUGACGAAGCGUGAGUGACGGUAAUGGGUAAAGAAGCACCGGCUAACUACGUG
RNAcentral lists this ribosomal RNA (468 nucleotides) under uncultured bacterium. Its description in RNAcentral is "partial 16S ribosomal RNA". It matches the Rfam family "Bacterial small subunit ribosomal RNA", at positions 28 to 507 of the family's 1533-position model. The record is from RNAcentral.